Molecule: unclassified non-coding RNA, 230 nt
Filed under: plant metagenome
Description: partial contains small subunit ribosomal RNA, internal transcribed spacer 1, and 5.8S ribosomal RNA
Source: RNAcentral
UCUCCGUUGGUGGACCAGCGGAGGGAUCAUUACAGAGUUGCAAAACUCCCAAACCAUUGUGAACGUUACCUAUCCCGUUGCUUCGGCGGGCGGCCCGGGCCCCGCGCCCGGCGCCCCCGGCCCCCCGUGGGCGCCCGCCGGAGGUAAACCAAACCCUUGAAUUGCAUGGCCUCUCUGAGUCUUCUGUACUGAAUGAGUCAAAACUUUCAACAACGGAUCUCUUGGUUCUG